RNAcentral lists this ribosomal RNA (481 nucleotides) under uncultured bacterium. RNAcentral's name for it is "partial 16S ribosomal RNA". It matches the Rfam family "Bacterial small subunit ribosomal RNA", at positions 28 to 507 of the family's 1533-position model. The record is from RNAcentral.
GAUGAACGCUGGCGGCGUGCUUAACACAUGCAAGUCGAACGAAGCACUUUAUUUUAUUUCCUUCGGGACUGAUUAUUUUGUGACUGAGUGGCGGACGGGUGAGUAACGCGUGGGUAACCUGCCUUGUACAGGGGGAUAACAGUUGGAAACGGCUGCUAAUACCGCAUAAGCGCACAGCAUCGCAUGAUGCAGUGUGAAAAACUCCGGUGGUAUAAGAUGGACCCGCGUUGGAUUAGCUAGUUGGUGAGGUAACGGCCCACCAAGGCGACGAUCCAUAGCCGACCUGAGAGGGUGACCGGCCACACUGGGACUGAGACACGGCCCAAACUCCUACGGGAGGCAGCAGUGGGGAAUAUUGCACAAUGGGCGAAAGCCUGAUGCAGCGACGCCGCGUGAGCGAAGAAGUAUUUCGGUAUGUAAAGCUCUAUCAGCAGGGAAGAUAAUGACGGUACCUGACUAAGAAGCACCGGCUAAAUACGUG